Molecule: ribosomal RNA, 766 nt
Filed under: uncultured bacterium
Lineage: Bacteria
Description: bacterial SSU rRNA
Rfam family: Bacterial small subunit ribosomal RNA
Source: RNAcentral
UCGCACGAGAAAGGGGAGCAAUCCCUGAGUACAGGGGCGCACGGGUGAGUAACACGUGAAUGAUCUACCUCCGAGUGGGGAAUAACUGAGAGAAAUCUUAGCUAAUACCGCAUAACACUUACGAGUCAAAGCAGCAAUGCGCUUGGAGAGGAGUUCGCGGCCGAUUAGUUAGUUGGCGGGGUAAUGGCCCACCAAGACGAUGAUCGGUAUCCGGCCUGAGAGGGCGCACGGACACACUGGAACUGAAACACGGUCCAGACUCCUACGGGAGGCAGCAGUGGGGAAUUUUGCGCAAUGGGGGAAACCCUGACGCAGCAACGCCGCGUGGAGGAUGAAAUAUCUUGGUAUGUAAACUCCUUUCGAUGGGGAAGAUUAUGACGGUACCCAUAGAAGAAGCCCCGGCUAACUUCGUGCCAGCAGCCGCGGUAAUACGAGGGGGGCAAGCGUUGUUCGGAUUUAUUGGGCGUAAAGGGUGCGUAGGCGGUUUGGCAAGUCUGAUGUGAAAUCUAUGGGCUCAACCCAUAGUCUGCAUCAGAAACUGCCGGGCUUGAGUAUGGGAGAGGUGAGUGGAAUUUCCGGUGUAGCGGUGAAAUGCGUAGAUAUCGGAAGGAACACCUGUGGCGAAAGCGGCUCACUGGACCAUAACUGACGCUGAUGCACGAAAGCUAGGGGAGCAAACAGGAUUAGAUACCCUGGUAGUCCUAGCCCUAAACGAUGAUUGCUUGGUGUGGCAGGUACCCAAUCCUGCCGUGCCGAAGCUAACGCG